CAAGAAGGAAUAUUGGGCUUUGCGAAUUACCCAUCGUGUGUUGGUAAACGGCGUGUGCUACAAUCUGCUUUGCCGAUUGCAAAACGUGAUCGGGAAACAGUUUGCCAGAAUAUACCCUGACCAUGGAAGACACCGCGUUCGCGAUUUUUAUCGCGGACGAAGCAGAUGCAAUUGAAAUACCCCUAUUUUUACAUGAAGUGGAGGACAAUCUUUUUAUCUAUUAUUAAAAUUAUUAAAAGUUGCUUUUAAUGCACAGUGGACCUAAUAACAAAUGUUUGUCGUUUUGCUAGGAACGUCCCUGGAAUCCGUAAUUUUGUUUCAGAAGUGGUCAAUUUGUAAACUCCUUCUGACUUUCAAUGUCAUUUCAGACUUUCCAAAAGGCACGUGGAGGAAAAACAACCUUGGUGUAAUGGACUACAGAUUCAGCGCUUGUGUCACUGCUAUCACUUGCAUUGCCAUCAUCACAGUUUUUCUGAUCUUUCUCUGCAAUCUUUUUCUGGGCUUCAGUGACAUUCUCGUAUUCUAUGUUGCAUGAGUUUUUAUUGUUUAAGUUCAAUGUUCCCUCUGAAAUAUUGAUGUAAUCCGUAUCCUUGCAACGGUAGUGGAGAGUCGUAUACCGUUGAGAGCUACAGGAAAUGUCUGCCAGCUGACAUCCAAACAAAACAAAAUCCAGGAAAAAACAAUACACGCGAAGGCCGAAGGAGUUGAGAUUGUAGUACGCCAUAUUCUGUCUCCUCUUUAUGUAAGGUCUUUCUGGAGACCACCGCCAUGCGCUCUUCUGAGGACCUGAAUUUAA
This is a long non-coding RNA of Triplophysa dalaica, 796 nucleotides long. RefSeq lists it as uncharacterized. The record is from RefSeq and is a predicted model, not a curated record. Lineage: Eukaryota; Metazoa; Chordata; Actinopteri; Cypriniformes; Nemacheilidae. The transcript has 3 exons.